Molecule: ribosomal RNA, 253 nt
Filed under: uncultured bacterium
Lineage: Bacteria
Description: partial 16S ribosomal RNA
Rfam family: Bacterial small subunit ribosomal RNA
Source: RNAcentral
UACGUAGGGACCAAGCGUUGUCCGGAAUCAUUGGGCGUAAAGAGCGUGUAGGCGGCUUGUUAAGUCUUGCGUGAAAUCUCGGGGCUCAACCCCGAGCGGUCGUGAGAAACUGGCAGGCUAGAGUGCGGGAGAGGAGAGUGGAAUUCCUGGUGUAGCGGUGAAAUGCGCAGAUAUCAGGAAGAACACCAGUGGCGAAGGCGGCUAACUGGUCCAGAUCUGACGCUGAGGUGCGAAAGCGUGGGGAGCAAACAGG